RNAcentral lists this long non-coding RNA (367 nucleotides) under Homo sapiens (human). RNAcentral describes it as "non-protein coding lnc-BTF3-4:2". The record is from RNAcentral. Lineage: Eukaryota; Metazoa; Chordata; Mammalia; Primates; Hominidae.
GAAAAAGAAGAGGCAAGACCGGCCCCCAGACCGACCAAAGCCCACGUGCCGCCACACCCCACGCCCAGCGCGCCGACGUCCCGCCACUGUCGCUGCCACCAUCAUGCCCAAGAGCUGAAGGGGAUGCUAGAGAUAAAGCCAAGGUGAAGGACGAACCACAGAGAAGAUCCGCGAGGUUGUCUGCUAAACCUGCUCCUCCAAAGCCAGAGCCCACGCCUAAAAGGCCCCUGCAAAGAAGGGAGAGAAGGUACCCAAAGGGAAAAAGGGAAAAGCCGAUGCUGGCAAGGAGGGAAAUAACCCUGCAGGAAAUGGAGAUGCCAAAACAGACCAGGCACAGAAAGCUGAAGGUGCUGGAGAUGGCAAGUUG